Long non-coding RNA from Tachysurus fulvidraco (yellow catfish), 1015 nucleotides. RefSeq lists it as uncharacterized. The transcript has 2 exons. The record is from RefSeq and is a predicted model, not a curated record. NCBI's taxonomy places the organism in Eukaryota, Metazoa, Chordata, Actinopteri, Siluriformes, Bagridae.
AACUGGUUCAUUAAAUCGAACUGUCCGAAAGAACCGAACUUCCCAUCCCUACAAUUUAGCAGAUAAACAAAGUACAAAUCUUACAUUUGUGGAGAAAAUCAUAGCUGAUGAAUAAAUUGAGAUGGUGACGUUGUUGACGUCUGAAAUAAACGUGAGGAAGCAAAUUUGUCACAUUCACUCUUUAAACUGUUUUCACGUCAUUUUUCUGUCUCCAUUUUGUUUCUGUGUCUCCAAAGCUGCAGCAGUUCAGUUUACCUUCAGAACCAAAGAGCAGAGAAGAUUUUCUGCAGUAUUUCUGUUAUCUGACUCUGGAUCCAAACACAGCACAUCCUCAACUCAUUCUGUCUGAGAAGAACAGAGUGGUGACAUUCAGUAAGACACAACAGCGAUAUUCUGAUCAUCCAGAGAGAUUUGACUCCAGGACUCAGGUGUUGUGUAAGGAGAGUGUGUGUGGACGCUGUUACUGGGAGGUUUAGAGGAGCGGUGAUGUGGACAUAUCAGUGUCAUAUAAAGAGAUCAGCAGGAAAGGAGGGGGUAAUGAGUGUUGGUUUGGACACAACAGUCAGUCCUGGAGUCUGGAGUGUUCUUCUUCCUCUGUCUCUUUCUGGCACAACAGCAUUAAGACUGAGCUCCGAGGUCCAUCAUCCUCCAGAAUAGGAGUGUAUGUGGAUCACAGUGCAGGAACUCUGUCCUUCUACAGCAUCUCUGACACCAUGAGGCUCCUCCAGAGUCCACACCACAUUCACUCAGCCUCUAUACGCUGGAUUCUGUAUGUGUUAUAAUAACUCAUCUGUGAGGUUUUGUGAUCCAAAAUAAAAUGUUAGUAAAAGUUUUCAGUAAAAUUCUAACUGAGGUGUGAGAUAUAAUUUGUCCCUGAGCUACACUGGUCAUUUUGUGUGCAGAAACUGGAACAGUAAUGAAUGCUGAAUGUAGGAUGUUUCUAGAAAUAAGAAAUGCUUUCAAACAGACUAUUUAACUGUAUGCACUCUUAGGAUGGAUUUAUUAUACGUGAUAU